AAAAUCUUCAAAACUUUCAACAACGGAUCUCUUGGUUCUCGCAUCGAUGAAGAACGCAGCGAAAUGCGAUAAGUAAUAUGAAUUGCAGAUUUUCGUGAAUCAUCGAAUCUUUGAACGCACAUUGCGCCCUUUGGUAUUCCAAAGGGCAUGCCUGUUUGAGCGUCAUUU
RNAcentral lists this ribosomal RNA (168 nucleotides) under Scheffersomyces stipitis. RNAcentral describes it as "5.8S ribosomal RNA". It matches the Rfam family "5.8S ribosomal RNA". From Rfam's summary of the family: 5.8S ribosomal RNA (5.8S rRNA) is a component of the large subunit of the eukaryotic ribosome. Lineage: Eukaryota; Fungi; Ascomycota; Pichiomycetes; Serinales; Debaryomycetaceae. The record is from RNAcentral.